RNAcentral lists this small RNA (1865 nucleotides) under Histoplasma capsulatum var. duboisii H88. Its description in RNAcentral is "Histoplasma capsulatum H88 hypothetical RNA". The record is from RNAcentral. Lineage: Eukaryota; Fungi; Ascomycota; Eurotiomycetes; Onygenales; Ajellomycetaceae.
ACCACCGUCAAAUUAACCCAACCACCAACCACCACCACCGCCUUCCCCGCACCGUUCACUGGCGCCAUCUUCCCCACCACUGCCGUCCCCCGGCCUCCAGCUGAAAGUGUACAACUGAUCUCCGCGCAAGCAAACCCAUCCGGACAACAACCGCCGCCCGCACUAGCCGCACAACCCGUCCAACCGGCAGCACACCUCCGGCCUUCCCCACCAGGAGAGGACAGAGACACAGUAGGAUCGAUUCCUAUAACAAUCGUGGCGCCGUUGUCAUCCACGAUUGUGGUCGAGGAAAUUGGGGGGCAGGAGGUGGGGUUACAAUCGCGGCCGGUACGACAGCAGCCGCCGUGGUAGACAGCGCUGCAGGCGUAGAAGCCCGUCGGGCAACCGGUUAUGGUCGGGCGUGUGGAUUGGAAUGUGGUGAUGGUGGUUUUGGCGUUGGAGGUUGGGCGGACGGGAGGGUUUAUAGGUUCUGUAAAUGUUGAUGGCGGCGGUGGCGCGGGGGUUGCGGUGACGAUUGUUGUUGAGACGUAUAUACCUAUGUCACCUCGGUCAGCUUCGAGAGAAUCGAUAAAAAGUGAUGGCAAGGGGUGCUGGAAGGAGAAUGGAAGCGGAAAUGCCAUACACCCUUGAUCCACACACGAGUAUCCUGGUAUACAACAUCCCCCACCUGGAUUAUCAGGGCAGGGAGUGUACCCGCUCGCACACUUAAUCAAAUUGUCCGAGCAGCUCUCCCCAGCCCCGCAGCAUCCCACAUCUCCUAACCCUGUGUCUUUCACAAAUAUGCACUUGCUCCCCUUCCCGCAGCAGCUAUUCGGCCGGUCGAUAGACGUGCAAGGUUCCGUGUCAAAAGGGCAUUUGAAACUUCGCUUCCCAAACAUGUCGCCCCGGUCCCUCGCCGUCCGCUGCGACAGCGAGCGGCUAAGGAGAAGCAAUGACAUUCCUCUUCCCUCAUUCCCUGCCUCCCUACCUUUAUCUGCUCCAUCAUCAUCCGUUAUAUUCCCAUGAAGUGGAAAUGGUGGAUAUAAUGAUGCUGCUGUUGAGCUAUUCAUCCCCGCAUUGCCCAAAGUCUUCUUCACCUUAUUAUGGUAGCUCUUUGGGGCAUCUCCCCAACCACCAUCUAUCAGCCCUCUGAUGUCCGUCCCUUCAUCCCUCAGGCCCACGCGAGUAGACUGCUGUUGUUUCCGUCCUCCAUUUUUGACAUCACCGCUACCACCAAUAUUGGCAUCAAAAUACCAAUAAUCCAACCAAAAUUUCUCCCCCUCGUCGUCAGUCAUUCUCCUCACGCCCACCGGCGACUGGCCCACCAGUUGUCUCUGGAUUUCCACAUCGCGCUGCACUAGGCUUUCCCGUGCGAUGUCGACAUCGGAUAUGCUACUAUUCUUGGCGAUAUCCGUUGCGGCAUUUGUGGGUGGUGUUAGCAGUAGUUGUAAGGCGGGGGAGAGGAGCAGGGUGAAGAAAUGGUAGGAGGGACAGGGCGCAGGGAAGAGUCGCAUCAGGCGCUUGUGAGUGGAUAGACGGUUAGCUCAGCCCUGCGGGUUGCAGAGGAGCAGGAGAGGUACUGAGUGGGCUAGGAAUAAUUAAUUAUUCACUUUAUAUGAUGCGGGAUAGAGGAACGAGAGAAUCAAACAAAAUGAGAUGCCUUGGAAGAAGAUAUGUACGGUGUAGUUUUACAUGUGCUAAGCAAUACAAUAGAUACAUUUAUGAACUUGAAUCCGGGUGUGGUCUCGUGGACACUUUUCCCCGCAUAUGGUCAGAAUGGGCGUUGAUGUUGGUGAGACAUGGUUCGGUGAGGAUGUUGUCUUUGUGCACAUUUCCGUACAGUCAUACAGUUAGGAGCAGAGGAUAUCGUUGGUUGGAAAGUUGGC